GAUGAACGCUGGCGGCGUGCCUAAUACAUGCAAGUCGAGCGAACAGACGAGGAGCUUGCUCCUCUGACGUUAGCGGCGGACGGGUGAGUAACACGUGGAUAACCUACCUAUAAGACUGGGAUAACUUCGGGAAACCGGAGCUAAUACCGGAUAAUAUAUUGAACCGCAUGGUUCAAUAGUGAAAGACGGUUUUGCUGUCACUUAUAGAUGGAUCCGCGCCGCAUUAGCUAGUUGGUAAGGUAACGGCUUACCAAGGGGACGAUGCGAAGCCGACCUGAGAGGGGGAUCGGCCACACUGGAACUGGGACACGGUCCAGACUCCUACGGGAGGCAGCAGUAGGGAAUCUUCCGCAAUGGGCGAAAGCCUGACGGAGCAACGCCGCGUGAGUGAUGAAGGUCUUCGGAUCGUAAAACUCUGUUAUUAGGGAAGAACAAAUGUGUAAGUAACUAUGCACGUCUUGACGGUACCUAAUCAGAAAGCCACGGCUAACUACGUG
Molecule: ribosomal RNA, 497 nt
Filed under: uncultured bacterium
Lineage: Bacteria
Description: partial 16S ribosomal RNA
Rfam family: Bacterial small subunit ribosomal RNA
Source: RNAcentral